Long non-coding RNA from Sorghum bicolor (sorghum), 1284 nucleotides. RefSeq lists it as uncharacterized. The record is from RefSeq and is a predicted model, not a curated record. NCBI's taxonomy places the organism in Eukaryota, Viridiplantae, Streptophyta, Magnoliopsida, Poales, Poaceae. The transcript is spliced from 4 exons.
GCGGCGCGGGCAGAGCCCUCGGCGUCCAGGCGACCGGGGUGUCAGCUGGUCAGGGCGCAGGGCGGCUAGCCAGCAAAGCGGAGGCGCGCGACGGCCUGACCCAGCCGGCCAGAUGCCAGUGCGGGAGUGACAGUGAGGUGAGGCCGGCACGAGCCUUCCAGCGACGUCUCCGUCUCCGUCUCCCUCUCCCUCUCGUCUGUUUGCACCCGGCAUAAUUGAUCGUCGUUUCUUUUUGAUUUGUGGGCGCGGCUGCUGUUCGGCAAAAUGCCUCGAGGGAGAACGGUCAAGGGAGCGGUGCAGCAGCCGGCUGGUGGCAGCGGGGGCAUUGAAUCACUGCCUGAUGGAGUCCUUGAACACAUCCUUGGCUUCUUGCCGUCUGCGGAGGCCGUCCGCACUAGCAUGCUCGCCCGCAGAUGGCGCCACCGCGACCCAGAUCAACAGCUGUCUGUGGAGGAUCUCUGGAGCUUGGUGAACCAUCUGCUGGUCCUCCGCAGAGGCUCGCCCCUUGAGAAAUGCUAUUUCACGUUCGAUGCUGAGCUCACCAGCCAUGAUGUUCCCAGUUUAUUUUUAAAAGGGAUUUGAGAUGGUGCCCUGUGUUUACAAAUCUAAAGACCUUGUUGCGUUGCUGAAUGGCUACUGGUAUGUGCCUGAUGACGUCCAUGCACUUGCGUUUAUUCUUGAACACUCAUCUGUUCUAAGAGAAGCUCACUUUUGAACAUCACGAGUGGUUUGGAGAUAAAGUGCAAAUCAAACUACGUGUCAGUUCAAUGAAGCGAGCAACUGCAAUUUCAGAACACCUUAAGAAAGUCGAGAUCAAGUGUCAAAAGGUUCACGAUACAGUUCUCAAGGUUUUGAAGUUCCUGUGUGCAUUUAACAUAUGGUUUGUGGUGGAAAUGAUCAGGUGAACACUGGUACAAAAUGAUCUGAUAAUCAUGCGAGCUAACACUAACUUCAUUUUUAUAGAACAUUUACCCAACUUUGGCAUAACUGCAUUGUUCUGAAGUUUAAUAAAACAAAAAUAUGUCGUCAACCGCAACUGUGCCCAUGGAUAGAUAAUUUCUAAUUUCUUACUCUAUUCCCCUUGGAUCUUAUUCCUAUUUUCACAUUGAUCAGGCUUCAGUUUAGAUGAAAUGGUUAGAGUAGAAUUGGAGCCACAAUGAUGCUAUAUUCUAUCCCUCUGUCUAAUGUGGUUCGGGUGAAGAUAGAUUCUCUAGUCACCUGCUUAGACCAUCUACCUGUAAUUUAAGUGCUGGCUUAUAUUAUCAAUCUCACUUUUGUUCAUCU